GGAAAAACCAGAAUUUCAGUUUUGGUCAAGUUUAGUUUAAGGAAGUGGGCAGCCAUCCAGUUAGAAACAGCUGAGAGGCAGUCAGAGACAAUAGUCAACAGGGACGGGGAGAGAUCAGGAGAGGACAGGUAGAUUUGCAUGUCAUCUGCAUAGAAAUGAUAUUGGAAGCCAAAGGAGCUAAUGAGUUUACCAAGGGAGGCAGUAUAGAUGGAAAACCGUAGAGGACCAAGGACUGAACCUUGGGGGAAACCAACAGAGAGGAGUUGGGGAGAAGAAUCAGAGCCAGAGAAAGAAACACUGAAAGAGCGCUGGGAGAGGUAGGAGGAGCACCAGGAGAGAGCAAUAUCUUGUAGACCGAUAUUGCGGAGGAUGAGAAGAAGCUGUUAAUGAUCAACGGUGUCAAAAGCCGCAGACAGGUCAAGGAGAAUUAGGAUAGAGUAGCAACCACGAGAUUUUGC
Pelobates cultripes (western spadefoot toad) is the source of this 458-nucleotide non-coding RNA. The record is from the annotation of a GenBank genome assembly. Lineage: Eukaryota; Metazoa; Chordata; Amphibia; Anura; Pelobatidae.